This 833-nucleotide long non-coding RNA is filed under the name Nicotiana benthamiana. Its description in RNAcentral is "long non-coding RNA (NBEN_LNC034159)". The record is from RNAcentral. Lineage: Eukaryota; Viridiplantae; Streptophyta; Magnoliopsida; Solanales; Solanaceae.
AUACCGACCGCGAUGGUAAAAAGCGCGGCCGUGUAGUUUGAUCGGGGCCGAAAUUUACGUGGAGCGAAUCUUAGUUCGAGUUGGGGUACAUACUUGACUAGCGAGUAUGCCUAGUCUGUGCCUUGAUUCGUCAGAGGCCGGGUUUUGCUGAGUUCUAUGAUGAAGGUGUUUGUCCUGAGUCCUAGUUCAACUGUGGCUGUGAUUGUUAGACUCGGGGACGAAGGCGUCUAUCCUUACAGUUCGAGCGGGGUCAAACUUCUUAGAUUUAAUGGCAAUGGCGAGUAUCUUGACUCCCACUUCAACUGUUGUUGAACUUUGUCGAUUUUGAUGGCGAAGGCGCAUAUCCUGAGUCUUAGUUCAACCGUAGCCGAAUUUGCUGGCGAAGGCGCAUAGCCUUGAUUUAACCGUGAAGGUGCGUAGCCUGAGUCCUAGUUCAACUGUUGUUGAACUUUGUUGAUUUUGAUGGAGAAGGUGCAUAGCCCGAGUCCCAGUUCAACCGUAGUUGACCUUUGUCGAUUCUGAUGGCGAAUGCGCAUAGCCUGAAUCCCAGUUCAGCUGUUGUUGAACUUUGUCGAUUUUGAUGGCGAAUGCGCAUAGCCUAAGUCUUGGUUCAGCCAUAGUUGAACUUACUGGCGAAGUCACAUAGCCCUGAUUUAACGGCGAAGGCGCAUAGCAUGAGUCCCAGUUCAACCGUAGUUGAAUUUGCUGGCAAAGACACAUAGCCUUGAUUUAAUGGCGAAGGCACGUAGCCUGAGUCCCAAGUCAACUGUUGUUGAAAUUUGUCGAUUUUGAUGGCGAAGGAAUGAAGCCUGAGUCUUGGUUCAGCUGUAGUU